Molecule: ribosomal RNA, 510 nt
Filed under: uncultured bacterium
Lineage: Bacteria
Description: partial 16S ribosomal RNA
Rfam family: Bacterial small subunit ribosomal RNA
Source: RNAcentral
UGGGGAAUAUUGCACAAUGGGCGCAAGCCUGAUGCAGCCAUGCCGCGUGUGUGAAGAAGGCCUUCGGGUUGUAAAGCACUUUCAGCGAGGAGGAAGGUGGUGAGCUUAAUACGCUCAUCAAUUGACGUUACUCGCAGAAGAAGCACCGGCUAACUCCGUGCCAGCAGCCGCGGUAAUACGGAGGGUGCAAGCGUUAAUCGGAAUUACUGGGCGUAAAGCGCACGCAGGCGGUUUGUUAAGUCAGAUGUGAAAUCCCCGGGCUCAACCUGGGAACUGCAUUUGAAACUGGCAAGCUAGAGUCUCGUAGAGGGGGGUAGAAUUCCAGGUGUAGCGGUGAAAUGCGUAGAGAUCUGGAGGAAUACCGGUGGCGAAGGCGGCCCCCUGGACGAAGACUGACGCUCAGGUGCGAAAGCGUGGGGAGCAAACAGAUUAGAUACCCUGGUAGUCCACGCUGUAAACGAUGUCGAUUUUGGAGGUUGUGCCCCUGAGGCGUGGNUUCCGGAGCUAACG